RNAcentral lists this transfer RNA (86 nucleotides) under Trametes cinnabarina. RNAcentral describes it as "Pycnoporus cinnabarinus tRNA". It matches the Rfam family "tRNA". From Rfam's summary of the family: Transfer RNA (tRNA) molecules are approximately 80 nucleotides in length. Their secondary structure includes four short double-helical elements and three loops (D, anti-codon, and T loops). Further hydrogen bonds mediate the characteristic L-shaped molecular structure. tRNAs have two regions of fundamental functional importance: the anti-codon, which is responsible for specific mRNA codon recognition, and the 3' end, to which the tRNAs corresponding amino acid is attached (by aminoacyl-tRNA synthetases). tRNAs cope with the degeneracy of the genetic code in two manners: having more than one tRNA (with a specific anti-codon) for a particular amino acid; and 'wobble' base-pairing, i.e. permitting non-standard base-pairing at the 3rd anti-codon position. Lineage: Eukaryota; Fungi; Basidiomycota; Agaricomycetes; Polyporales; Polyporaceae. The record is from Rfam by way of RNAcentral.
GGCGCUAUAGUGUAGUGGUUAUCACUUGGGAUUCUGAUGUCCGCAUUCGUGUUCCCAAAACCCAGGUUCGAGCCCUGGUAGCGCCU